CGGGAUGUGGCUCACCGGUAGAACAUGUGCUUAGCAUGCAUGAGGCCCUGGGUUCAGUCCCCAGCAUCCCAA
This 72-nucleotide transfer RNA is filed under the name Marmota monax (woodchuck). It matches the Rfam family "tRNA". Rfam says of the family: Transfer RNA (tRNA) molecules are approximately 80 nucleotides in length. Their secondary structure includes four short double-helical elements and three loops (D, anti-codon, and T loops). Further hydrogen bonds mediate the characteristic L-shaped molecular structure. tRNAs have two regions of fundamental functional importance: the anti-codon, which is responsible for specific mRNA codon recognition, and the 3' end, to which the tRNAs corresponding amino acid is attached (by aminoacyl-tRNA synthetases). tRNAs cope with the degeneracy of the genetic code in two manners: having more than one tRNA (with a specific anti-codon) for a particular amino acid; and 'wobble' base-pairing, i.e. permitting non-standard base-pairing at the 3rd anti-codon position. Lineage: Eukaryota; Metazoa; Chordata; Mammalia; Rodentia; Sciuridae. The record is from Rfam by way of RNAcentral.